This is a long non-coding RNA of Trachemys scripta elegans, 5938 nucleotides long. RefSeq lists it as uncharacterized. The record is from RefSeq and is a predicted model, not a curated record. The transcript has 10 exons. NCBI's taxonomy places the organism in Eukaryota, Metazoa, Chordata, Testudines, Emydidae.
UUCCCACCCCUCUCGGCGGACGGGGUUCGAAAGAGGCUGGAGCGCGAGCCGUGGAACGUUGGCCGGCGCGGGACUUGGCGGAGCGGAGCUCGGGCUGCUGCGGGGGAAGGAUGCCCGGGGGCUCCAGUGGCGGGGGCGGGGUCCUGUUUAUGGCGAGGGAAGCUGCACUACAAGGAGAGCGUGCGGGGGAGAGGGCGACACAGGGUGGGGGAAACAGGCCCCUUCUUAGUGGGAGGCUGUGGGGAGAAGGUGACGGGCAGCUUUUACUGGGAGAUUGCAGUGGUGCCAGGGACCCGCUGCUGAACGGCUGCGGUAAAGCGCUUGUGAUUGGAAAGCCGGGGUGGAGCAGAGGGAAGACUCCAAAAUACCUUUUAACUGGGAGAGCUUGGAAGGGAGGAGGAAACGGAUGCGGAGCAUGUUUGGUUAAGAGGCAGUGGUGGUGGUGGGGGGGAUAUCGUUAGUGGAGAUGGGAGGAAAAGAAGGGCGAGGCAGGUCCCGCCCACCUUUCCUUGGUGGGCUAUGGCUGACAGUAGCCAUAUGCUACUGGGUGGAGAAAUGGGACUUUCCUGGGAGGCUACAAAAGUGGGGAGGGGGAGGCAUUUUGAGGGGAGAAUGAAGAUUAACGUGCCUGGACUGGGUUAGGAAACUGCAGUAAGAAAUAGAAUUUACCUAAAUUAUCCUAUGGUCUAAAGGGACCUCUUGCUUUCCAUCUAGUUAUUGGGAGCCUGCUUAGCUUUUCAGUGAGUGUCACCUCAGGACAGUGUGUCUGGUUUAUAUAAAACUUACUCAGUAUGUCUCCAAGGUAUUCUAAGGUCACUCCCCUUCUCCCCCUCCCCCCUCCGUAAUGCUGCAAAAUCCCUGCUGCUGCACUGGAUUAGUUUGAAGGGAUGAAAGUCCUAGGCAGCAACAGCAGGACUAGUAAAAUAACACACAUCAUAAUCCUAUAGCGCGAUAGAUUUUUUUUUUUUAAACCUCCCUGGUUUUGCCGGUGCCAAGGUGUGCUGCAAAGAGGAGGAUUUGCUUGCCAUUACAAUUUGUAAUGUUUGAUCAAGGUCUCACCUACUGUGUUUUUCUUGGAAGACCCAUUGCAUUACCGGUAACAAGCAAGUACAAUCUGAUUAACUGAUAUACAAGUGAUUUCUCUCAAUCUGUUUAAUUUUUUAUUGGUUUUAAUAGUGGUUUUUAUUCAACUCAAGUGCCUAAGAAAUUCUUAAGAAAAAACACUUUUGUCAAAGAUCCAGUAUCCUGCCUCUUCAGUUAAGGACUGUAAAAGCUCCUAUUCCACAUCUCUGCAUCCUCCAAGGAGACAUCCAACAAAAUCAGGCUUGACAUUCCUGAUAUUUCUAAGUUAACAAGAAGCAAAACAUUUUUGAAACCAACAUAUCAGGCCUUUUUUUGUACAAUAUAAAUUAUCAAAAACCCCUUUUCCACCUUCAGAACGCUUUUUAGGCAGAUGUUUCAGUUUGGCUCAAGGUGUCGUGUUUCCUGCUAGUGGCUGUUCGACAUAACAGAUAAGAGCAUGCUAUUGCUGUUUCUCUUUCAGCUCAGUUAGUAGAGAUUUGGACUGUUGUUGCUGAAGAUCCUUGGUUGUGUUCUCACAAUCUGUUUUGGGGGAAGUUACACAAGAAGGCACCCAUUGUGGUCCUGGAAUCCUGCCCUUCUUAUCCCACUGUGCUUCACCACCUCAGUACUGUGUUGACUGACUUGCUAUAAAUACUUAAAGUAGAUUGUUUUACAUAAAUGAUUUAUUAAACACUGAUACUGUGACAGUGUAGUCAAUAUCACACAGUUGGUUUGAACUGCUAUUGACAUCAGUGGCUGCCACUGAAUUUGAUCAGGGGGUCCUAUGGAUGCCUUAACUUGAUAGUGAGCUUAGACCUAGCUACCAUCAAAUUAUUCGGCUUUGGAGGUGUUUGAAAAGUGACAAAAAUGGCAUUGUGGAGUCCCAUGUUUGUGUCUUAUUGAUUUCUAGAUCAAAUCUGUUUAUCAUAAGCUAUUUUUAGGUCUUCCAAUUAUGCAGAAAUCUGAAAAUGAAGUUGAGUUUCUUCUUCAGCAAGAUCAGUAUGUUCUACACAGGGUUUCAACUGUUGCUUGCAACCUUGGUGGCAGAAUCAGAUCUGUCAAUCAUAUCACAAUAUGACCUUUAAAUGGCACUAGUCUCUUGAAAGACAACAUACAAAAGGAGAAAACCCUUAUGCUCUUUGGAGUCUUCUGUACCUAAUAAUUCCAGGCACAGUAGCUUUGAGAGAAAAAAAGAGAGCUUGCCAAAUACAGUAAGCAAUGUGAGUCUUAAGUCCUCUUUGUCGAAAAGACAGCUUUCUGAAUGGGAGUCUGAGGGAGGCAGAUGCAAGAUGACCUAUUUGCUCUAGGCUGUUUUGAGACAAUGCUUACAUAGUGCUUUCAGUCCCCAGAGCAAGAGACGAAAACAAGAAAAUAUUUUCUCUUUGGGUCAAAACUAGGUCCAGACACUCCUCUCUACUCGAUACUGGAGAAUUCAACCCGAUCUAAAUGGGAAUUUCCCACAAAAUCUAAGUGCUUGAGUAGGCAGGCAACAUAUUUUUAUAAUGUAAAGCAAAACAAAUAUUAUCUGGUUAGCUUUAAGGCAGAUGUAGUUCUUUCUUCCAUAGUGAAAUAGGAUCAUUCCCACAUAGGACAGUUUUAUACCCAAAGAUCCUAUUUAGAAGUGAGUGGAUUCUUCACUAAGCAGGAACUUCAAUGGUACCUCUACAGCCAAUUGAUGCUUGAGGGCAGCCCUGGCAUGGACAGAAUCUGUUUUAAAGACCCGAGAAAAAGAUCUGUAGUCUCUUUACAAAAGAGAAUUAUUCAUAGCUGACAUCUAUGGAAGUGCUUCAUUUAAUUUUUCAGCCUGAGUCAUUUCUUCUGAUGUGUCUUUGAACUUGGAAGGCAGAUAGGUGAAAUAUUUACUGGUGGCCUUAAAGUUCUCCUGAGGAAAGAUUUUUCCAGUGAGCCAAUGGAUAGGGUCAUAGUAUAUAUAGCAGCACAGUGAGAUGAGCUACAAACCCAAGCAGUCAUUUUCUGGUUUCUCCUACAAUAUAAAACUGGUAUAACCAGUACAGGAGAGGCAGAAAGUACAUGGGCUGAAUUUAUGUGAUAACUCACCAGCCUGCAAACAAAGGGCAUGAUGCCAGAUUUUCCUAGCCAUAAAAGGAACCUUGUAUCCAGGGUAAUCUGUGAUUGUUUGUGAACAGAUGGCUGAUUACCACUUCAUACAAAUGACUUCUGGAUACCUAUUCCCCAAAUGUUGCAUAUUUUCCCCCAAAUUAUACCUGCCCAAAAUGAAUGGGUUUUCUAGACCUAAAAUAGAUAUAACUUUAAAGUCUGACAUCUCAAGCUCCUGUAAGGCUAGAGACAAGAACUUUAUAUAACUGGAAAAGGUGGUUUUCCAGAUUCCCACUGGGGUACAACAUUCACGUCUAACCCUGGGAGGUCCCAAAACACCAGAUAUGAAAAUUGUGACUUUUUAUGCAUAGAAAAACUAUUUUUGGUCAUUUUUAGAGGUUUAUAAUGGCUUCCUCUCUGUUCUAUAUAGCUGGAUUCAUUAUAACUAAGGCAACUAGUAUUAAAGGUAUAGGGUUUAAGAAAUAAAGCACUAACUUUUUUUUAAAACUCUAAAAUAUUCCUAUAGUAGUUUUUCUGUAAUGUGACAUACAGAAUACAUGAUGGCAUGCUGUGGGAUAAGUGUUUUAAUAGCACUUGUGUGGGGUGGCCAGCAUCAUUCACCUGUGAGUAACACUAAUAUCCCAAACUCAUCUGGUAAAGCCUUUAUACCUCACCAUUCAUGAGUAAUACAUUUUUGUUUCGUGUUUGGGAGGAUAGAACUUUGCUAGGCAACAAGCAGAGACAAUUUCUUUUUCAAGGUUAAUAGUUUAAAACCCCCUUUAGGCAGCCAUCUUUGUACACAGGCUUCUAUAACUUCAAAAUUUUCUUCAGUUACUUUAAGAUCUCGUUUGAGUUUGUUGUCUAGACUGUAUGUAUAACCUCACUGUAUGUUUUGUCCCUGAUGUCCUUCUGUCUUGAGGAAUCAAGAAAGGAUAAGGUAGAACUACAUUUUCAGAGAGGCAACUAUUCAGACUUCAAAAGGGGAGAAAGAAAGACCUUUGAGGACAUGAAAUUCUCCAUUUGGGCUUUAUCUACACACAAACUUGCUGAGGACUACAGAAAGAAUAGCAUGGUCUCAUAGUUAAGACAGGUGAAAGUUGCCCUGGAGACUACAGCCUCUUUCACUUUACAACCCAGGUUCCUCUCCGGAGCAGGGCCUUCUUUGCAGUGAAUGAGCAGAGAUCCUGAGGGAAAAAAUAGUAUUAAAACACAGUUGAUGCUGAUGCAGUUCCUCAGUGUCAGAAGCUAAGUUGAGAGGCCAGCUGCUUCUGAGGACAUUGUCUGCUACUAUCAAGAUAUUCAGAGAACUGUUCAGGAGGGGCAUCUCAUGAUUCAUUGUUCCACAUGCUUCAGGUGAAGAGGUCAUGCUAAAUCAGAAAUGAUGGAGAGACUGGACCUCAUUUAUACUCAAGAUGGCUGAAUUAAUACUAUUGAAAUUGUGUGGAGGAAUGCAAUAUGAACAGACAGGUUUAUGAUAGGAACUUAGAUUGGGCUCCCUGGAGAACUGCAUCUUCCUAGCUGCAAUGCCAACACUCCUCUGAUCAACCUGCACAGUGCAUCAUGGGAGUCUCGUGGCUGCAGAUGCAUCAUGGGAGAUAUAGUAGGGCCAGGGGGCUCUGCCCACAGGUGAGAAUGUGGGCAUCAGACUCCCAAACUACAACUCUCAAGAGAUGGGGAAACCGUGGAACAAAGAGAGUAAGUGGUUUACCAGCGUUCACAAAGCAAGUUUACAGAAGAGCUGACACUAGAACUUAAACCUCCAGACCGCUCAUUCUAUGCUUAGCACUAAAAUGAACAGGAACAGCUUGGGCAGUAGUGGUGCCAACUUUUCCAUGUCACCUUGCCAGUGAUCUUCAAAUCUGACCUGGAGCCACCGCCACCUGUAAGGCUGUUGUAAUCAGACCUUGAUAAGAAUUGCUGCCAGAGACAUCCAAUCAGCCCCAUGUUAUCAUCUGGAAAUGAUUAGAGCCUUCAAGGCAGAUUGAAGCCAUUUUGAUAGCAUUGAUUAGUUCCUUAUUUUAAGUUGUGCCAUUUCACCGGAGAACAACAAAACAACAACAAAAUUGACAUGGAUGGAUUAAGGCAGCUAUUGGCAGAUAUCCGGGUCCUGUGAUCAAAAAGGACCUCUGAAUUUGGGAGCAAGACUCCAAGGAUCCAUCACAAGCAGUCUGGGAACAGCAGCUGACAUUGUGAGUCAGUUCCACUGAUGAGAAAAUGGGUUGGCCCUUGUCUCUCUCUGCCUGAGAACAGGCCCAAGGCCCUGAACACUGAUCAGCAAGCUGAGCUGAAAGACACCGUAGAGCUUUGUCAUUGCUGGGCCCUCUCCCACACUUCCUGGAAGGCAUAACAAGGAGCUGCUGCUUUGAUUCAGGAGCAGAAAGGAGAUGCCGAAAUACUCUCCACUCAAGUGGGAAGUAAAGGUGCCUCUGUAACCCUUCAACACCACCACCACUACUUGAGGGGGAGAAGCCCCUGCACCAACAAAUGAAGAUGGAUACAGACUUUCAUAGGAGCUGUGAGAGCCUGAUGGCUCUCCUGGCAACCGCAGCAGUGAAAGGAGCCAAACGUGGGACCACCUGGCAGCCCCACGACAGCAGCUCCUCCAGCGCGGCUGCUGUACUGCCCUUAGCCUCCCACCCCCGCACACACACUCCCCCCAGCCCUGUCCUCCGGCAAGGCAGCAGUACCUCCGGCCCGGCCCCAAGCCCUGCGACCCUGGCCGGAGCUCUGGCUGGAGCGCAGCCCAAUUCCUGAGCUCUUUAAAGCUGGCCCUGGUCAGGGGAUGGGGGGAGGGAGUUGGGGGUUCUGAGGGGGGCAG